UACGUAGGGGGCAAGCGUUGUCCGGAUUUAUUGGGCGUAAAGAGCGUGUAGGCGGCCAAAUAGGUCGGUUGUGAAAACUGGAGGCUUAACCUCCAGACGUCGACCGAAACCAUCUGGCUAGAGUCCGGAAGAGGAGAGUGGAAUUCCUGGUGUAGCGGUGAAAUGCGCAGAUAUCAGGAAGAACACCCGUGGCGAAGGCGGCUCUCUGGGCCUUACCUGACGCUGAGGAGCGAAAGCGUGGGGAGCGAACAGG
RNAcentral lists this ribosomal RNA (253 nucleotides) under uncultured bacterium. RNAcentral's name for it is "partial 16S ribosomal RNA". It matches the Rfam family "Bacterial small subunit ribosomal RNA", at positions 524 to 776 of the family's 1533-position model. The record is from RNAcentral.